CAAUAGCGUAUACUAACGUUGUUGCAGUUAAAAGCUCGUAGUUGGAUUUCUGUUACGAUGAGCCGGCCGGCCCUUCGGGGUUGUAGCUAGGUUUCGUGGUAGCAUCUUGGCGCAAUCGCCGCUGGCAUUCGUUUGUUGGCGUGCGGGACCGCCUCGUUUACUUUGAGAAAAUUUGAGUGUUCAAAGCGGGCUAUCGCCUUGAAAAUAUUAGCAUGGAAUAAUGAUAUAGGACUUUUGGUUCUAUUUUGUUGGUGUUCGAGAACCAAAGUAAUGAUUGAUAGGGACAGUUGGGGGCAUCAGUAUUCUGAAGCGAGAGGUGAAAUUCUUGGACCUUCGGAAGACUAACAGCUGCGAAAGCGUUUGCCUAGGAUGUUCUCUUUAAUCAAGAACGAAGGUUGGGGGAGUCGAAGACGAUCAGAUACCAU
Molecule: ribosomal RNA, 425 nt
Filed under: uncultured eukaryote
Lineage: Eukaryota
Description: bacterial SSU rRNA
Rfam family: Eukaryotic small subunit ribosomal RNA
Source: RNAcentral